Molecule: transfer RNA, 70 nt
Filed under: Bradyrhizobium sp. SBR1B
Lineage: Bacteria; Pseudomonadati; Pseudomonadota; Alphaproteobacteria; Hyphomicrobiales; Nitrobacteraceae
Also listed under: 2 other names
Description: tRNA-Met
Source: RNAcentral
AACGAAGCCAAUCGUUGUCCCGCCGCUCAUAACGGUCUGGUUGCAGGUUCGAGUCCUGCCGGGCCCACCA